This 717-nucleotide ribosomal RNA is filed under the name uncultured bacterium. Its description in RNAcentral is "bacterial SSU rRNA". It matches the Rfam family "Bacterial small subunit ribosomal RNA", at positions 37 to 752 of the family's 1533-position model. The record is from RNAcentral.
UGGCGGCGUGCUUAACACAUGCAAGUCGCGUGCGCAGUUCGCGUAGCAAUACGUGGAUGGGCGCACGGCGCACGGGUGCGUAACACGUGGGCAAUCUGCCCUCCGAUGGGGAAUAACCCCGCGAAAGCGGGGCUAAUACCGCGUAACAUUCCUUGGACGAUGGUUCGAGGAUUCAAAGCAGUAAUGCGUCGGAGGAGGAGCCCGCGCCCGAUUAGCUAGUUGGUGAGGUAACGGCUCACCAAGGCAAUGAUCGGUAGCUGGUCUGAGAGGAUGAUCAGCCACACUGGAACUGAGACACGGUCCAGACUCCUACGGGAGGCAGCAGUGGGGAAUCUUGCGCAAUGGGCGAAAGCCUGACGCAGCGACGCCGCGUGGGGGAUGAAGCUUUUCGGAGUGUAAACCCCUUUCGACUGGGACGAAUGCCCGCAAGGGAGUGACGGUACCAGUAGAAGAAGCCCCGGCUAACUACGUGCCAGCAGCCGCGGUAAGACGUAGGGGGCCAGCGUUGUUCGGAAUUACUGGGUGUAAAGGGUUCGUAGGCGGUGCGGCAAGUUGGGAGUGAAAUCUCUGGGCUUAACCCAGAGGCUGCUUCCAAAACUGCUGUGCUUGAGUGUGGGAGAGGCGCGUGGAAUUGCAGGUGUAGCGGUGAAAUGCGUAGAUAUCUGCAGGAACACCCGUGGCGAAAGCGGCGCGCUGGACCACAACUGACGCUGAGGA